Molecule: long non-coding RNA, 3547 nt
Organism: Globicephala melas (long-finned pilot whale)
Lineage: Eukaryota; Metazoa; Chordata; Mammalia; Artiodactyla; Delphinidae
Source: RefSeq, a predicted model, not a curated record
AAAUUUUUCUGCCUUUUUCUACCAGUUAUCAAAAAGAAGCCUAGCAGAACCAAGUUGGAUUCAUUAAAAAGAAAAAAUCAUGAAGGCAAUAAGUUUUAAGGUACACAGGACCAGAUGCAGUCAAGGAGGAAUAUACAGAAGACUUCUUCUGAAUGGAUGAUGUCUGUUUCUUAAGCUUGGUGUUCUAUUUCACAUACUUACUGUCAUAUGGCGCUGUGCCUGGGGCGUGGAGAUAAGUCCUCGUAAACUCUGGCAUCUAUCCCAUGGUCAUGGGAUAAGCCUGGGCCUUGGACGUGGAUUCAGAGCCGUCACCAAGGAAUCAGUCCGACAGACCAUCUCCUCGGCAACUGACUGCUUUUGGGAGGUCUGAGGUCUUCUGCCAGCCUUCAGUAGGUGUUCUGUAGGAGUUGUUCCACGUGUAGAUGUAUUUCUGGUGUAUCUGUGGGGAGGAAGGUGAUCUCCGCGUCUUACUCUUCCACCAUCUUCCCGACUAUUCCCACAUCUAAAUCUUGAGCAAACAAGUAGAAAUAAACUGGCUGGAUCAAAUGGCAAAUGCAUGUUUAAAUUCUUAAGAAAUUGCCAAAGUAUUUUCCAAAGCAGUUGUAUCAUUUUAUAUUCUCACCAGUAAGUUCUGGUUACUCCACAUCCUUAACAACACUUGGUAUGGUGAUUUUUAAAAAUUGUACCCAUUUGAAUAGCUGAGUAGUGAUAUCUCAAUGUGGUAGUACUUUGCAUUUUCCCAAGGGAAAAUGAUGUUUUACAUCUUUUCACAGGGUUAUUUGCAAUAUCUUCUUUACCCAGUUUUUUCCUUUUGUUCCUUGUGCCACUUCUAAAGAACAGAAUAGGACAGAGAGAUAAAAUGUCACUUUUAAGAUUAUGUUAUAAAUGACUGUGACAUUCAUCCUACUUGACUCUUUGCUCUCUCUCGCUUGCUCUGAUAGAAGCUGUUAUGGUGUGAACUGCCUGACGGAGAGGCCCACUUGGGCACCAAGGGCCAGCAUGGAACUAGGGCCCCUCCAGUCCAACAAGUAAUAGGAAACUGAAUCUUGCUAACAAGCACAUUUGUGAGACUGGAAGCAAAUCCCUCCCCAGUUGAGCCUUGAGAUGAACGUAACCUCAGCUAGCAUCUUCACUGCACCCUUGUGAAAGGCCAAGUUUUACCCACUUGAGCCACAUCCAGAUUCCUGACACACAGAAACUGUGAGACAGUAAAUAAUUGUUGCUUUAAAGCACUAUAUUUUGGAGUAAUUUGUUACACAGCAACAGACAGGUAAUAUAGCAUCUAUUGGGAUGAUUGUAUGGCCUUUCCUUUUAAGCUGAUUAUAUGGCAAUUUACAUUGCUUGACUUUUUAAUGUUUAAACUUCUCUGCAUUCCUAGGAUAAACACCACUUGAUUAUGUUUUAUCCUUUUUGUAUAGCAUUAGUUUUGACUUGUUAAAUUUUUGCUAAGAAUUUUAGUAUCAUGUUCAUGAGGGAUACUGGUGCAUAAUUUUUUUUUAUUAAUUAAUUUAUUUUUAGCUGUUUUGGGUCUUUGUUGCUGUGUGCAGGCUUUCUCUAGUUGCAGCGAGCAGGGGCUACUCUUCGUUGUGGUGCAGGGGCUUCUCAUUGUGGUUGCUUCUCUUGUUGCGGAGCAUGGGUUGUAGAUGCACGGGCUUCAGCAGUUGUGGCUUGCAGGCUACAGAGCACAGGCUCAGCAGUUGUGGCACACGCGCUUAGUCGCUCUGCAGCAUGUGGGAUCCUCCUGGACCAGGGCUCGAACCCGUGUUCCCUGCAUUGGCAGGCGGAUUCUUAACCACUGCGCCACCAGGGAAGUCCACUGGUGCAUAAUUUUCUUUUCUUGUAUUGUUUUUGUCUUAUUUUGAUUAAUAUUGGACAGAAUUGAGCCUGGGGUUUUCUUUAGGAGAUAUAAGGAUAUUUGGGUUAUUUCUUUCUUCUUGUGUAAGUGUUGGCAGUUUGUGUAUUUCAAGGAAUUUGUCCAUUUAAGUUGUUAAACAUAUGAGCAUAUGAUCAUAAGGUUGUUCAUAAUAUUGCUUUAUUGUCCAUUUAAUGGCUAUAGGCUCUGUAGUUAUGUUGCCUCUCUUUCUUUAUAUUAGUUAAUUUGCAUCUCCUCUUUCUUUCCUGAUCUAUCUGGCAAGAGAGUUGUAAAUUUUAUUGACCUUCGCAGAAAACCAAAUUUUGAUCUCAUUUCCUACAUUGUUUUUGUUUUCUAUACCACUGCUUUCUCACAUCAUCUUUAUUUCUUUACUUUUUACCUUGGGUUUGUGGACAUUAUUGAUUUAAUAUCUUUCUUCUUUUUAAGAUAGGCUUUGUAGGGCUAAAAAUUCCCUUUCAAGCACUGUUUAUAUUGCAUCUCACAAAUCUGGAUAUAUUGUGUUGUCAUUUUUAUUCUGCUCAAAAUAUUUUCUAACUUUCUGGUAUUUCUUAUAUCAUACCUAUUGGGUUUUAGUAUCAAGGCUAUGCUAAUCUCAUAAAAUUAGGUGGAGAAUAUUUUCCUUUAGAAGAGUCUGUAAGGUUGGGAUUAUUUGAUCCUUAAAUAUUUGAUAGACUAUAACUGUGAAUUAUAACUGUAUCUGUGAAUUUUAUUUUGUGUUUUCAAAAUAUGCAUAAUUUUAUUAUUUGUUAAACAGAUACUCAGAAAAAUCCAUGCAUUUUUUUGGUGAUGAAAAGGCUAUGAUUAUUUUGUACAUAAACAAUCACCAACCUUACCACAAAAAUAUAAUAACAUAUACUAAACCAAAGAAGAAGAGAAAUCUUCAUUGAGUUUUAUAAUUUUUGGUCAUUUGAGUCACUACAAUGUAAACUAACCACUGUAACAUAAGAGAUACAAUAUUAUUCACUAUAUACAUGAGUUUCUCAUAGCCACAAGUAUUCGAUUCCACAAAUCACUGAAAAGUUUAAAUGCAUAAAUAACACUCUAUUUGGUAGUAGCUACUUCCAUAGGGAAUUUUGGACGGGCUAUCUAACAUUCAUUCUUUAAAACACCCUCAAGUACGAAACUACUCUUGCUACUGGGAAAAUCAGACACACACAAAACCAAUUUACCACGAUAGGCUUCAAUCUGGGCCAUGAGAAAAGUCUCAAUGAAUUUAACAGGUUUUAAGUCAUAUAAAGUAUGUUCUGUGACAACAAUGGAAUUAAACUAGAAAACAAAAACAGAAAGGUAUCCGGAAAUCCCUAAAUACUGGGAAGCUGAAUAGCACACCUCUAAAUAUCUCAUGGGUCAAAGUAGAAAUCAAAAAGCAUUCUUACACAUAAUAAUGAAGUGUUGAGGGGACUUCCCUGGUGGUCCAGUGGUUAAGAAUCCACCUUCCAAUGCAGGGGACGUGGGUUUGAUCCCCGGUCAGGGAAGUAAGAUCCCACAUACCACAGGGCAACUAAGCCCGUGUGCUCUGGAGCCUGCACACCACAACUAGAGAGCCUGCACUCCACAACUACUGAGUCCACACCCUCUGAAGCCCACACACCACAACUAGGGAGAAGCCCACACGCUGCAACGAAGACCCCAUGCGUCGCAAUGAAAAAUCCCACAUGCUGCAACGAAGAUCCC